RNAcentral lists this ribosomal RNA (240 nucleotides) under uncultured bacterium. Its description in RNAcentral is "partial 16S ribosomal RNA". It matches the Rfam family "Bacterial small subunit ribosomal RNA", at positions 94 to 334 of the family's 1533-position model. The record is from RNAcentral.
AGUGGCGGACGGGUGAGUAACGCGUGGGUAACCUGCCUCAUACAGGGGGAUAACAGUUGGAAACGGCUGCUGAUACCGCAUAAGCGCACAGUACCGCAUGGUACGGUGUGAAAAACUCCGGUGGUAUGAGAUGGACCCGCGUCUGAUUAGGUAGUUGGUGGGGUAACGGCCUACCAAGCCGACGAUCAGUAGCCGACCUGAGAGGGUGACCGGCCACAUUGGGACUGAGACACGGCCCAA